Long non-coding RNA from Herpailurus yagouaroundi (jaguarundi), 327 nucleotides. RefSeq lists it as uncharacterized. The transcript has 4 exons. NCBI's taxonomy places the organism in Eukaryota, Metazoa, Chordata, Mammalia, Carnivora, Felidae. The record is from RefSeq and is a predicted model, not a curated record.
UCAGCUCCAGGCAGUUGCUGAUCUCCUAUAAUACUUGAGUUGUCAAAGUAUGGACUAAAAUAUCUGCCAGGUUCAUCUGGGCUUGUGCCAAAGGAUAAAAAAGAGAGAAUUUCUACUCACUGGUCCUGUUUCCCCUCUGAAGUCACCCUGAUGCAUAAGGAUUCCAAGAUAAAGAAUAUUUGUAGCCACCUAGAAGACUCCUAUGUGCCUCCAUUCAGUGAACACUCACCCGUCAAUGACAGCCACUAUUCUAGUGAGUUUGCCUGUUUUUGAACUUCAGAGACAUUCAGAGUGCGAGUCGGGAGGGACAGAGAAGGAGAGGAAGAC